GAUGAACGCUAGCUACAGGCUUAACACAUGCAAGUCGAGGGGAAACGAUAUUGGAAGCUUGCUUCUGAUAGGCGUCGACCGGCGCACGGGUGAGUAACGCGUAUCCAACCUGCCCAUCACUUGGGGAUAACCUUGUGAAACGUAAGACUAAUACCCAAAUGACGUCUCUAGAAGACAUCUGAAAGAGAUUAAAGAUUUAUCGGUGAUGGAUGGGGAUGCGUCUGAUUUAGCUUGUUGGCGGGGUAACGGCCCGACCAAGGCGACGAUCAGUAGGGGGUUCUGGAGAGGAAGGUCCCCCCGA
RNAcentral lists this ribosomal RNA (301 nucleotides) under uncultured bacterium. Its description in RNAcentral is "bacterial SSU rRNA". It matches the Rfam family "Bacterial small subunit ribosomal RNA", at positions 28 to 312 of the family's 1533-position model. The record is from RNAcentral.